This 270-nucleotide ribosomal RNA is filed under the name uncultured bacterium. RNAcentral describes it as "partial 16S ribosomal RNA". It matches the Rfam family "Bacterial small subunit ribosomal RNA", at positions 524 to 794 of the family's 1533-position model. The record is from RNAcentral.
UACGUAGGGGGCAAGCGUUGUCCGGAAUUAUUGGGCGUAAAGGGCGCGCAGGCGGUUCUUUAAGUUGGGUGUAAAAGGCAGUGGCUCAACCACUGUAGGCACGCAAAACUGGAGGACUUGAGUGCAGGAGAGGGGAGUGGAAUUCCCGGUGUAGCGGUGGAAUGCGUAGAGAUCGGGAGGAACACCAGUGGCGAAGGCGGCUCUCUGGCCUGCAACUGACGCUGAGGCGCGAAAGCGUGGGUAGCAAACAGGAUUAGAUACCCCGGUAGU